GGGGGAUUAGCUCAGCUGGUAGAGCGCCUGCAUGGCAUGCAGGAGGUCAGGGGUUCAAGUCCCCUAUCCUCCA
This 73-nucleotide transfer RNA is filed under the name Paracoccaceae bacterium. RNAcentral describes it as "tRNA-Ala". It matches the Rfam family "tRNA". Rfam says of the family: Transfer RNA (tRNA) molecules are approximately 80 nucleotides in length. Their secondary structure includes four short double-helical elements and three loops (D, anti-codon, and T loops). Lineage: Bacteria; Pseudomonadati; Pseudomonadota; Alphaproteobacteria; Rhodobacterales; Paracoccaceae. The record is from RNAcentral. RNAcentral also lists the same sequence under 2 other names.